UAUGUUUACUUGAGAGAACUGAGGGAAAUAGGCAGAACUGAGUGGUGAUGGGACCGUGGUCUUAUGCAGCCAUGUAUCUCUAUGUGGAAGGCAUUAGGAGGAGGUGGGUCCAUGGCGUUUGUUCUCAGACCUUGGGAAAGAAGCCACGUGAGGAGGAGAUGGGAAACGCUCGGCACAGAACCACUCUGUCUUAAGGCCUUCCCUUCACACUGGUUUUAUUUGUGUUUUGAGAUAACUCAAGGAUCGCUGUGGUGUGCUUACAGAACCAUGGAUGUGCUGAGAAUCUCAGGGAGGGUCGGGGCAGGCAGUUUGCUUUGGCAGGCACGGUGUGAGCGCAUGGGAUGAGGGCUGACCGCCUCCUUCGCUCCGCACUGACGGGUUGGCCAUUUUCCUUGGGUGGUGGCCAGCCAUUCCUGCUAGAUUCACGUUACAGGGCUGUAUUUGCACCCUUCUACAUCAUCCCAGGCAUCCAGAUGUGUGACAGACGUGCACUCAUGCACUGCACUGUGGAUGCUGUAUUUUGGCUGCAGCAGAGGUAAAUAUUAUUUCUGUAUCAUGUGGAGGAUGAAAUAAUACCUCUUGAGGAUUUGGAAGAAAGACGGAGGAGACUCAGUUUAUCAUGGUCUGCCCAUAGCUUUUUUCACUUGAGCACAUUGUCAUGCAACAAGAAAUAAAGCAGGAGAAGAAAAUGCAGCUUAGUGAUUAAAGGGAUUUUGGCCUCCAAGCGAAUCCUGGUCAGCCCCUUCCAAAAAACAACACGUUGUUUGCAAUGGCAUCCUCCGCCCCUUGUCUUCUGUAACUAUCAGGAUGCUUCUUCCCCCUCUCCUGAAAUGUGAGUUGCUCACAUCUGCUCAGCUGCAGCUCACACAGAGGCUGACUCUGGGGUCCUCAGCCUGGAGGGGAUAGGAGAACAACACAAGCUCAUCCAACUGGUAAAAUCCUGUCCAUAAAUUAGAAGUGCAGGCUCACAGCUCUUGUUUUUAAACACUAAACGCAUCCAAUUGCUUUGCUAAAGACUCUCACUCUAGCAGAAAACUAUAAUAAUCACAAAAUCCUGUUUGAUGGGGGAAAAAAAGGAUAGAUGGCAGAAGCAUGAGGUUGGCUUGGAUCAUAUCUCUUGCCCUGUGCCUGGCACCAGGUGACAUCCGAAGCACAUCACAGCCAUAGGAUGGCAUCGUGAUGCUGCUGUGAGAUUGUCCCAUGUGCACAGACUGCAGCACCCCAACCUCAUCCCUGUCCCCAUAGGCAGUGGUAGUGUAGGGAGGGAAGGAUAAAUAUAAAACAGGAGCAGGUUAAAUCCCUCAAAUCCCUUUCUUUAACUUCACGCCCCUAUUACAACUGUGCUCCUGGAGCUGGGGCAUUCAGUCCCUCCCAGUACAGGCUGUAAAGCAUCCCUCCUUCCAUCCCCUUUUUCAUGAAUAUCUAAAGAACUGGGUGGCUUUUCCCCACCCUCUCAUGGCCCUCUCACUCCCAGCUCUGUGAGUCCAGAGCUCAGGUUUUCUCACGCUUCCCAUCUCUUUGCAGAGCAGAGCAGCUGCAGGCAGUCUGUAUCUGGAGACACUGAAGGAUAUUUUCUGGAUUGCCCAAGAAACAGCCAUCAGCUUGGAAGACGCCCAUGGGCAGCGGUUUGCAGGAGGCAAUGCCAAAAGGUGCCCAAAAAUAAAUCACAGUUCAAUGGAGACCAUGCAGUGGCAGCUGGGAUAUCCGAGCCAGCAGCAGAAGGCAAUAUGUGCUUCCAACCCAUCCUUCACCCCUGUAAAAACACACAAAUAGGAGCAGAAAGGCCACCGCCUGCAGGCCUCAGCCCUGAAGGUAAGAUGCAAUGGGCAGCUGUGGGUGCAGGGAGAUGAGAAAGGGAGGAAUGGGCAAAGCCAUGGGAGCAAGACUGCAGCUUGCUGCCUCUAAUGAUGCUGGGCUAUGCCAAGGGGCAGCUUGAUGGGUUUAAUUUAUCGUUAUUCCCUCCCUACAUAAUCUCUGAGAAGUGCCACUUUCAGUUUGUAUAUCUUUCCUUGACAUGUAUAUUUAGCACUCAUUAACCACUUACCUGGGCUAAUAAUUCAGCUUUUUGUUCCAAACUCUAAAUUUCCUCAUUUCCGCGAGUUCUUGGAGCCAAAGAGAACAUUUCUGACAGAUUAAUUUCGACUUUGUUUGAAGGCUUACUGCAGCCUUUUGGUUUAUUUGAACAAAAUUUUCCAUGUUUUCCAAAGAUUAGUCAUUAUGAAACCAUCUCGUUGCUUUAAAGCCCUAAAUGGUUCUUACCCCUUUCAGUAAAAAGCAAGUUCAGAAUGCCAGAAAUUGGUUGUUUUUAAGAAGAAGAAGAAAAAUUAAAAAAAACCCUCAUUACAUCUGGGUGUUUUAGCCAAGCUUGCAGCAAUUAACAUCGCUGUUUCUGUCCAAAUCCUUUACUGCCCUAAUUUAUAGGUGCUAUCAUUGCUUUAUUGUAGAUUCAAUGGCCCAGUGGUUUCUUUUCCAUCUAUUUAACCUCUGUCAACACAUAAAUCGUCGGGAAUGAUGGGACCUGGAGUGAGUAGCUCUUGCACAACACCUUUGUGCAAACAUUAAAUAUGCUGCAGUGUUUAAGCACACGCUUAAAUGUGACUUGAGUGCAAUCUUAGCAGCUGUGUCAAACAGAUUCAAACUGUGUCAAGCAGAGAGGAUUAGGGCUGUUUGCUGGAAAAGAGACUGAUGCCGAGGGGCUGAGCACCUUCAUGCUUGAUUUCCUGCCUAUGCAAAAAGCAACAUGAGUGCAACAAGUCAAAGCAAGCACAGGCUGCACCGCAGGGUUUUCCCCAUCAGCAGAAGUUGAACUUGGCUCACAGCUGAACCUGAACCAGAACCACCAAGCGUGGGAGAUAACAAAUGUUUAAAUUCUUGAUUGCAGAGAAACUGGGGAGGUGCCACCAGGAGCCUCUCUGCGUUUCCUCAUCCCACCUUGAGGAGAUGCUGUGGUCAGCAAAAGUCUCCAAGAAGUGUUUUGUGGUUGGGUUUGGGUUGUGUUUUCGGGUUAUUAUUUUAUUUCCACUGCUCAGCUGUAGAAGGAGACAUGUUGCACGUGAACAAGGAAUCCCCACAGGCUGCAGGAAAACAAUCAGCAGCCCAGGCUGAGUAGGAAGUGGUUGGAAAUCCAUCCUAGAAAGCUGAGAAGUGAAGCAUUCAGCUUUGAGGAGGGUUUCGCCCUCUGUUGCAGGUUAUUGCCAUUGGCAAAACCAGGAUGGAGGACAAGAAAACCUGGAAGUGAAAACUGGGGAGGCCUGGAAUUGGGCAAGAGGGAAGGAGAGGUGUAAAAACAGCCUCCAAAAUGUUGCUCUGUUGCAGGACUCAGCCUGCAUGGAAAUCCCCACCGUCAGGAUCCCAUCUGCAAAGUCUGUUUUCAAGUUACACAGCGCUAAUUUGUGGUUUUGAGGAGAGACUAUUGGAAAAUAGCAGCACGAAUCCAAGCCAAAGUUGCUAAUUUUGGCUGGUCUUUGCCUUUCUUGGUUCCAAUUGAAGCUACAUUUUGUUUGAAAACAUGGAACUCAGACAUAAGGAAAAACGAACCAGAUUAUGAAGAUUUCCAUUCAUUAGUAUGGCCUAAUAUAACUGAGUUUUGCACAGUGCAAGGACAGGAAUAUCCCCACCAUCAUAUUUUGGGUUGCUUUUUUUUUUGUUUGUUUGUCUGUUUUGUAUGUUUCUUAUUCGUAUUGGGUUGAAGAUGUGCCUGAGUGGCAGGCACCUCAACAUUUGCCUGCAGGCAAAUUAAGAGCUAGUUUCAAAACCAGCCUCUAUGCAAGGCUGGCUGCUUCUUUAUAGGAGAAAUCUCAGCAUGUUUACACUUGCAAUGGCAGAGCAGAGAAAUAUGCUUUCUGAUUUUUGGAGCUGAUAGAGCCCCCACUGAGUGGAAUGAUUGAGACCCUUGUAAGAUGAGAGAUACUUAUGACAUCUGGGGAACUCAUGCUCAUCCCAUCGUUAUUUUUGGUGGUAGCUACUGGCUUCUAUACUCUUGUGCUAUAUAUUCUUGUGCCUGGUAGCUGGAUGCCCCAGGUGGUGAGGAGCUCAGCUCAGGGGUGGUGGCAAGGUGUCCAUAGUGUGACACCUGUUGGCACUGAGCUGGCAGAGGGACACGAGAUCCACCACAAAACACAGCACCUGUACAUGUCUGUUGGACUCGAGGUUAAGGCUGCAUCUGCUCCUUGGAAACAGAUUUAAGAAGCAGACGAGAUGGCAGGCAUAAAUCUGCUCAGGGAAGGGUCAUUUCCAUAACACCUGCUUGUUAUUGUCUUCUGCACUGCGUGGAGUCCUUUUACAACCUUGCAUUUGGGGAGCUUGGCUGGGCUGCCAAAAAAAACAGAGGGAAUCGCUCUUUUAUGAGCCAUCCCUUCUUCCCUUUUAUGCUGUUAGGAAUUUCCCUCUGCGUAUCUCUCACAAAUUCCUUUUAAAAACGUUGCAUUCAAGUGAAAGUGAUCCAUCCCAGCUUGGCUUCUCUCACAUCAGCAAGUGAAGCUCUUGGUCUCCUUUUCACUCUCUGUUUUUUAGGGUUUCCAAUACAUCAGACCAACGGCCUGCAGAAGAACAAUUACCUCAGGUGAGAACUAAUUAUCACCAUCACCCAUUCUGGCUGGAGGGAAAGGUUUCCUGUGGAUUCUACGUGGCCAUGGACUUUUGAUUAGGAAGUAAUAACACGUGAAGACUUGGGUGAAGUGUUUCUGCACUCAGCCAACGCCAACCCUGGGUUAAAGUCUGUCUUCACAGCCACAAGGUCUAUAGGUGGGAUAAGGGGUCAACUUGGCACCGAUUUAAAAGCACAGCCUUGGUGUUGCUGCUAUGUCUGAGCGUGCAGUAAACAACAAGCAGAGGAAAACAAGAGCAGCUUGAAUGCUUUCCAAGGGAGUGAUUUAUUUUUUCCCCUUUGGUAAACUCCCCUUUGUCAAAAUGAAAUCUUUCCAGGAGAGAAAUUAGCUUAUAAAGAUUUUGGUCAAGCCUUGCGUUUGUUUGUUUCCAAAUGUCUUUUUAAUGAAGUCGUAGAACCAUAUCAGAUUUUGUAAAAGUCAGAAUGAAAACAAGAUGUAUCCAUUUUGCCUUUAAAAACAGGGCUGGAAGCAAAGGAAGAGUUUAUACAGUUCAGUUCUCUGGCCCUGUGUGGGAUCAAAUAUUUUCGGCAUAUGGAUAAAAAGCCAAGAAAUGUUAGCAUUCCUUCUGCUUCGUUUUUAUCUUCUUCCUCACUCCGCAGUCUCCCUUUUCACAGUGCUUUGCUACUGCCCAUUAAAUGCCCUUUGUUGCCUCUGUAUUUCAGCUGUCCUGACUUAGAACGGCGCAAUUAAUUACCAACCUGCACUGGAGCAUCCCAAUCCCUGGCCUUAUUGCAAGGUGCCUUCCUGCAGCUUUCCCCUGCUCCCCAGCCUAGGACAGGCCUUCUUGUGUCUUGUCCUUCACUCCCUUCCUUACCAAGCCUAGGAAGUAAUAUGUGGCAAUGCUGGAGAAAAUUUUUUCUGUCUGAUUGGCUGUUUAAACCAAACCCACACUGUUGCUGCUAUUGGAGCUGGCCAACAAUGGCAAUUUAAUGAAAUCCAAACAUUUUGGGAAAAUGUAUCGAUUUCACCUGCAGUUUCAACAGGAAAUUAUGGAAACAUUUCCAUCCCAUAUAGUCAAAAUGUUUCCUUCUGACCAUUGCAUCGGCUGCUUUCCUACCACAAAUAUUGCAUGCAGAGCAGUUGAUGUUCAGAUCUGUAUCUGAUGUGUUUCAAUGUAAAAGUCAAACCAGAAAAAAAAAAAAACCCACCCCAUUUUGGCUCCACUGGUAAUUUGCUCUCGUUUGUACUUGGAAAAAGAAAGACUCAUAUUCCAGUGGCUGCUUCCCUCAAGACAAAUGCUUUAGAGAAAGCUUUUUUCUAACUUUAAUGUUCAAAAGUGUCAAGGAAAUCUGAGUCAUUUGCCUGCUUUGAAUUGUACAGAAUAAAUGGGCUUCUCAAUCCCCUGGGCUGUUUCAACAUCUCAGCCAGAGGCCUCUAUUAAAAACCCAGCUAACUCUGCUAUGACACUUUCUUGUCCCCAUCUCACAGAUGGGAAAACAGCCUGGUGGUGACCCACCUAGGUCACAAGCAAUGGAGAUGGGGCCAGAGCCCAGUCCUUCUCCCACUGCCCAUCCAGCCUCAAGUGAAGCUAAAUUGGAUACUGGGAAGAAUUUAUCCACAUAUCCAUGUUGGACACACAGGGAUGGUCAGCGGUGUACGAGUCAGCCCAGCACAGCAGAGUUGCAAAAGCUCUUUUCUUUCUUAUGCUGGCAGAUAACCCAGUUGGAUUGUGUGGGUAGAUUCCCCCAGAAGAAUGGUUAUUCCAGGGCAGGAGUAGAGUCUCAUUUUAAAUUCCCCCAAAUGAGAUUAUCUGCACAGGGGAAAGUACUUGUGUACCAGGAUAAAAGCAUCCAUAUGGGAAUUUACACCAAGAUAUCCAGAAGACAGACAACUCAUAUCCUAAAUCCAUUUAACUGAUCCGUAUGGACAUGUAGACAGUGGAGGGAUGAUAUCCUGUGCUCCUGAACACCAAAUGAAACCAUCUGUACUCGAAAAACACUGUCUUCUGAUUCCUCUUCCUGUUGCUGGUUGCUUGUAUCUUUUGAAAUAACAGUAAUUUCCUACUUGGCAGCUAUACUGAACCAAUAUAUGAUUCCUGUGUUGUAACCUUCAACUGAUUUAGAUGUAGGUCUUGGUCUUCUCAAGGUUAUCUGUCCCAACAGGCCAUCAGUCCAUGGCCUAUGGCACCCAGGUAAGUGGGAAUAUGGAAAGUAUCAUGGGAAAUUUAGUCUGAAUGUAGCCAGGAUAACAGCUUAUGGAUUGCAGCAAGGCCACAUUUUUAGAGAUUCUGGUUAAUGCUGUACUCAUUGUACACUGGCGAAGACUCAACAUCUUGGUUAAGCUUUUCAAUCUGCAGGGCUUUCAUCCCAAGGAAACCCAAUUGAAAUUUAAUGUUGUUAGGAUUGUGGGCUCUUUUGCUGUUUGCUCUCAAGGGAAAAUGGGACCCUCCAAAACAGUUUCCUUUCCUGCAGAAAAAUUCCAAGUCUGCAGAAAUUGCUUUUGUCUACCCGAAAGAGCUAUUUCAGUGGGGAACUCCUGGCCAGCUCUGAAGCUCAGUUAUUUAGGGGUGAGCUUAUGUAGAGAUGUCAGCUGUGUAGCCAACUAUUAGCUAAGCUAGCUGUAGAACUUGAUCUCUCACAUAUUUAUCUUUAAUAGAAACAGAGCCAUCAGUGGCCUGUAGUGGUUAUUUGUGUUUCAGAUAACUCCCUGCCCUCAGUUUGGGGAAACCAUCAUUGCUUCCUUGUGCCCAAGGAAUGACUUCUUUAGAACAAUAGCAUCUCCAUCUAAUAGCUAAAUAGCCUUGAUGCACGGCAGUCUCCAGCUAGAAGAAAAGCCAGAGCAAAGCUUCCAUCCAAGGCGAUGCCAGCCAGAUGCAGGGCACCCUGCAAUGGCACAGUGUUGGGUUUAUCCUCAACCCAAGGCAAGAGGUCCCCUGUGCCAAAACCUGAGAACGUCUUCUAUGCUUUCCACACAAGUCUUGGAGCCAGCUCUCCUAACAAGUCUGGGUCUGGUGCCAAGAAGGCUUUGCUAAAGGAAACCCAACAGCUCAUGCAUGAUUUGUUUAAACAACAAAUGCCCGCCCUGGCAUACAGAGCUGUUAGCUUUCCAGUCCUUUCCAAGGUUGCUGCUGCAUAAAUAUGCCGAGCACACAGCUCUGCAUCAUGUUUCCAAGCUCUCCUGCUCGCUCUGUGGCAUCCUGGGGUCUGAACAUCCGUCCAGGCAUCUCUGUCUCUCUUACAGAUCCAGGCUUUGGCUCUGCUGGCCAGCCCACUUCUGUGGAUUUUCAUCUUCCUGCUAGAAUUAUGCUUCUGCAGGAGCUCUCCAUCUCCUAUAGCAAAAAACCCAGUCUAGGAAACCCCUUCCUUUAAGGUUCCUCUUGAAGUUUUGAGGGACCCAUGGCUUUCUCAAAGCAUUCGGCAUUCCCUUGUCUGUGGUGUGCUCCAUGUUGCUUUUCCUCAAUGUUCCCAAAGAGACAGUCCAGGUUAAAAUUACCCCUGGUGUAAUGUCUUGGGGCUUUUGAUGCUGCAUAUGGAAGGCAGCUGUCAAUUAGCAGCUGAAAAAAUAGCCUGCAGUGCUAAUGAGAGCAAAUCUAAUAGAGACCUCUUCCAAAUUGUUUCCAUCCAUUUUUCAGAGCUUUUAAUUGCUGUCAUAUUAGAAGGAUGCCAGAAGGAAAACACGAGGGAAAAGCCCCAUUCAGAGGUAGGUUCCUCUGCCAGGACUGGCUCGGAGGCAGCCUUUUUCCCUGAGUUUCAUUCACAGGAGCUUCUCAACUCUUUUACAAAGCUGCAUUUAGCCCUGGGUCCUGGCCAGCUCCUGCAAUCUCAUUUCCCUGGCAGUGAAGAUGGGAAGAGGGCCCUUGGUUUUGUUACCAAGCACUUCAGCCCUACAGAAGGCUGGGGAUGGAUGCUACCUCCCAGCCACCCGCUGUGCUGCACUGUGACUCUUUUAUUUUAGAAGGAAUGUAGUUAAACAGGGGAUAUUAGCUACUGGAAAAGCAACAGCAAAAUAUGCAAUGUUUCUAAAUUCUUACCAAAUAAAGGCUAAUUGUUCUGUGGAUAAAAUGAGGGGUCUUGGCCCUGCAGCUAAGAUGCUGCAGAAAGAAAGCAAAAGAAAAACAAGGCAAUGAACGAAACACAGAGAGGGCAAUACAAACAAGAAAGCAAUGUGAUCUGUGAAACUAUUACAUGCAAUCUCUCCAUGUACUUAUACUGUAUGGGAGCUGCUCAGUCACGGCCUGAACCUCUGAUUGAUCACCUGAAGUGAGCCAUGAGUCAGCCAGAGGAGCACAGGUGAAGGCAAUUCACCUUUGCUCCUAGACCUAUUUAAGAGCUGGCUACCAGUGGGGAAGGAUCUCUCCUGGAGAUCUGCUCUGCUGGAGUUUUGUAAGUGAGCCCAGGAUACAGCCCACGUCUGAAUCAGCCCUGGACUUGGACUAACCCUAGCUGCAGACUGAGCUCAUAAGGACUUCAUAACUUGCUGGCAAACCUUGAAGAACAGGCAAGUGAUGGGUGUGCAGAGCAAUAGGGCAGUGCCUGAGGAUGGAGU
This is a long non-coding RNA of Tympanuchus pallidicinctus (lesser prairie-chicken), 9092 nucleotides long. RefSeq lists it as uncharacterized. The record is from RefSeq and is a predicted model, not a curated record. NCBI's taxonomy places the organism in Eukaryota, Metazoa, Chordata, Aves, Galliformes, Phasianidae. The transcript is spliced from 4 exons.